CAAGUCGAACGCGAAAGUUCCGCAAGGGAUGAGUAGAGUGGCAAACGGGUGAGUAACGCGUGGGUGACCUGCCUUCGAGUGGGGGAUAACGUUCCGAAAGGGACGCUAAUACCGCAUGACAUCCUGCCUUUCAAGAGGUGGAGAUCAAAGCUGGGGAUCGCAAGACCUAGCGCUUGAAGAGGGGCCCGCGUCCGAUUAGCUAGUUGGUGGGGUAAUGGCUCACCAAGGCAACGAUCGGUAGCCGGCCUGAGAGGGCGGACGGCCACACUGGGACUGAGACACGGCCCAGACUCCUACGGGAGGCAGCAGUAGGGAAUUGUUCGCAAUGGGCGCAAGCCUGACGACGCAACGCCGCGUGGAGGAUGAAGAUCUUCGGGUCGUAAACUCCUUUCGAUUGGGACGAAUUCCUCGAGGGUGAACAAUCCUUGGGGUUGACGGUACCGAGAGAAGAAGCCCCGGCUAACUCCGUGCCAGCAGCCGCGGUAAUACGGGGGGGGCAAGCGUUGUUCGGAAUUACUGGGCGUAAAGGGCUCGUAGGCGGCCAACUAAGUCAGACGUGAAAUCCCUCGGCUUAACCGGGGAACUGCGUCUGAUACUGGAUGGCUUGAGUUCGGGAGAGGGAUGCGGAAUUCCAGGUGUAGCGGUGAAAUGCGUAGAUAUCUGGAGGAACACCGGUGGCGAAGGCGGCAUCCUGGACCGAUACUGACGCUGAGGAGCGAAAGCCAGGGGAGCAAACGGGAUUAGAUACCCCGGUAGUCCUGGCCCUAAACGAUGAAUGCUUGGUGUGGCGGGUAUCGAUCCCUGC
RNAcentral lists this ribosomal RNA (805 nucleotides) under uncultured Bacillota bacterium. RNAcentral describes it as "bacterial SSU rRNA". It matches the Rfam family "Bacterial small subunit ribosomal RNA", at positions 58 to 841 of the family's 1533-position model. Lineage: Bacteria; Bacillati; Bacillota. The record is from RNAcentral.